RNAcentral lists this ribosomal RNA (497 nucleotides) under uncultured bacterium. RNAcentral's name for it is "partial 16S ribosomal RNA". It matches the Rfam family "Bacterial small subunit ribosomal RNA", at positions 28 to 507 of the family's 1533-position model. The record is from RNAcentral.
GAUGAACGCUGGCGGCGUGCCUAAUACAUGCAAGUCGAGCGAACAGAUGAGGAGCUUGCUCCUCUGACGUUAGCGGCGGACGGGUGAGUAACACGUGGAUAACCUACCUAUAAGACUGAGAUAACUUCGGGAAACCGGAGCUAAUACCGGAUAAUAUAUUGAACCGCAGGGUUCAAUAGUGAAAGCCGUUUUUGCUGUCACUUAUAGAUGGAUCCUCGCCGCAUUAGCUAGUUGGUAAGGUAACGGCUUACCAAGGCAACGAUGCGUAGCCGACCUGAGAGGAUGAUCGGCCACACUGGAACUGAGACACGGUCCAGACUCCUACGGGAGGCAGCAGUAGGGAAUCUUGCGCAAUGGGCGAAAGCCUGACGCAGCAAUGCCGCGUGAGUGAUGAAGGUCUUCGGAUCGUAAAGCUCUGUUAUUAGGGAAGAACAAAUGUGAAAGAAUCCCUGCCCGUUUUGACGUUACCUACUCAGAAAGCCACGGCUAACUUCGUG